GACCAAGUGACAUUGCAAAAAAUAACACAUUUAAACCAGUUUAUUGAAUUUUCAUCACUCUGAGUUGGGUUGUUUCAUCUCAAGAGUGGUUUCAUCUCAUGCUGGUUGUUCUUGUUUGAAAUCUCACUUGGUCUCGGUCACAGCCUGACUGGAGGAGAUCACUUUGCCGUCUUUCACCUCCUCUAUAAUGGUGACCACUUUGCGUGUAGUUGAGGUUGUGGAUGAGGAUUGUGUGGUUUGAACACUUC
Long non-coding RNA from Sinocyclocheilus anshuiensis, 248 nucleotides. RefSeq lists it as uncharacterized. NCBI's taxonomy places the organism in Eukaryota, Metazoa, Chordata, Actinopteri, Cypriniformes, Cyprinidae. The transcript has 3 exons. The record is from RefSeq and is a predicted model, not a curated record.